GAUGAACGCUGGCGGUAUGCCUAACACAUGCAAGUCGUACGAGAGUUUUUAACUCUAGUGGCGGACGGGUGAGUAACACGUGAGAAUUUGCCUUUAGGAGGGGGACAACAAUCGGAAACGAAUGCUAAUACCCCAUAUGCUUUCGAGUGAAAUGGAUUUUAUCCGCCUAGAGAGAAGCUCGCGGCUGAUUAGCUUGUUGGUAAGGUAACGGCUUACCAAGGCUACGAUGGGUAGGGGUCCUGAGAGGGAGAUCCCCCCACACUGGUACUGAGACACGGACCAGACUCCUACGGGAGGCAGCAGUGAGGAAUAUUGGACAAUGGGCGCAAGCCUGAUCCAGCCAUGCCGCGUGCAGGAUGACGGUCCUAUGGAUUGUAAACUGCUUUAUACAGGAAGAAACACUCCGACGUGUCGGAGCUUGACGGGUACUGUAAGAAGAAGGAUCGGCUAACUCCGUGCCAGCAGCCGCGGU
RNAcentral lists this ribosomal RNA (472 nucleotides) under uncultured bacterium. RNAcentral's name for it is "bacterial SSU rRNA". It matches the Rfam family "Bacterial small subunit ribosomal RNA", at positions 28 to 521 of the family's 1533-position model. The record is from RNAcentral.